This 2240-nucleotide small RNA is filed under the name Arabidopsis thaliana (thale cress). Its description in RNAcentral is "ATSL170990". Lineage: Eukaryota; Viridiplantae; Streptophyta; Magnoliopsida; Brassicales; Brassicaceae. The record is from RNAcentral.
GUUACAUACAAAAAACAUUUAGUAGUUAAAUAUUUUUCGAAUAAGGGUGUAAAAAUAGGUAGCCCAACUAAACUCAACUUAAAUUUAGGGUUAAAUGAAUUAUGGGUUGACCCAUUUAAAUAAUAAUUUAUUUAAUAAUUAUUAUAAAACAAGAAUAAAUAAUUAUCAUCAUCAAUAAUUUAUUAUCAUCAAAUUUGGGAUAUUUACGGAUUCAUAAUUUUUUACGGGUUUACGUUUUUUGACGGAAAAAUUAUGGGUUUCGUUUCUAUUGGCGAAAAAUUCACGGGUAAUCGUUUUUUGGCGGGAAAAUACUGGUUUACGUUUUUUUGGCGAGAAAAUUACGGGGUUACGUUUUUUUGAGGAAAUCAUAGGUUUAUGUUUUUAUGGUGGAAAAAUCACGAAUUUACGUUUUUGCAAAAAAUCACAGGUUCAUGUUUUUGGCGCAAAAAUUACGGUUUACGUUUUCUGACAAUAAAACUAAUGCAUUGUAACAUUAUCCGGUCAACAAAACUUUUAGUUAAAAAACUUCACUUUAUUACAACAACUCACGAUUACAAGAAUGUCUAAAUUUUCAUUCAUGAGUUUUGAACAAAACACAAGUGAGAACCUCACUCUCACUCUCACAAUCGAAUAACAAUCGUCUCUUCCUUGUCAAUAAAAUUGUAUCUCGAUAUUGGUUUAGAUGUGUUGGUUAAACUUAAAUUGACUUUGGUUUAGAAAUUUUAAUUGGUUUAAUUCAAUUUUACAAAACUUAAUGGGUUAAUUGGGUAAACCAUUAAAACCAUUAACCAUUACAACUCAACUCAUUUUAUUCAUCAAACCAAUUGACCCACUAGCUCAUUUGAUCCAUCAACUCAUUUGAGUCAAAAAAUUUAACUCAUUAGGGUUCAUGGGUUGAGUUGAGUUGAGUUGACCCAUGAAUCUUGACCCAUUUUGAACUCCUAGAUGUACUAAUAUCUAUUUUAAUUAACGUUAUUCACAUAGUUAUAUUUAUAAGCUAUAUACAAGAAUAUAUUUAGUAGGUACAUAUUUUUCUGUAUGAAUAAUUUAUCAAUAUUUUUAAAUAAUUACCAUAAUAUUUUCUAUAGAAAAAAUCAUCAUUUUUUGUUUACCCUCUUUUGUUCAAUAUCUCAAAUUUAUUCUAUAACUUCUACUUUUAUCUUUCUUUUUAUUGUUGCUUAUAGAACAAUAUGCUUAUGUUUUGCUUAUGUUAUGCUUAUGUUUUUCUUAUUUUUGUUCGAUUAUUUUAUUUUUCUUAGUUUAUUAGUCAGGACACAUCAAAAAAUUGCUACCAUAUUGUGACAAUCUAAUGAACACAUCAGAAAGCCAAAGAAACUGGAGAAAUAAGUGUGUGUUGGGCAUAAAAAAAGAAUAGAGAUUUGGUGUUGAUAUGGUUUAAGACUCAUGAAUUCAUACGACAUGACCCUCCAUAAAAUAUGUAACUACCCCAAUCCUUUCUAAACAUGACUCUGGUGUUGUAGAACUUAUGAUCGUCUACUUUUACUACUACGUCUUGAACGGGCUUGAUUAUGUUGUUAUAUACGAUCUCCAAGUUGCGAAAGUAGCUAACUUUGUCAAAGCCUUCAUCGGAGAAGUGACCAGAUCCCAUCUGUGUAAUUGUGUGUCAGCCAAAACUUUGCGAAUUCACAACCUCACCACCCCAUUGCACGUCGUAUAUAUAAGCUAAAUUUGGAAAUUUGCAGUUAACCAAUAUCCAACCAAUGAAUGGUUGGAUCCCAAACUUAGCCACCAGUUCCCAGACUCUUGAUCCUAUAUAAUUGUUUAUCAACGAUGAUAUUUAACUUUUAAAUUAGAAAUGUAAAAUUCAUUAACUAAAACAAAAGAUACAAUCUCAAAUAUUUUUCCUCGGAUGUAGAGACGGAGUAAUGGUGCCUCCAACAACAAUGUUGUUACUUGUUUGUAUGAAACCAGGACAUUGAAGGUUGUAGCAUCCGGUUACAUUGUAAGUGUCACUUUGAAUAUAAUUUUAUAGUAUUUUUAUAAGUAAACUUAUCUUCUUUUUUGUGUGUGCACCAAAUCAUGAGAAUUAACUUAGAAGGAUACAUGACGACAAAAAAAAAAAAAAACUUAGAAGGAUACAUGAAGAUAAGGCUUAUCCGGACAUACUCGAAUAGAAGAGUUGAGAAUCAAAUCAUAACCGGAUUAUUAUCAAUUUUGAUAUAGAUAUAAAUAUCAAUUUUGAUAGCAUCUAUUAAUUUCCGGUUUGACAAUAAUCUAUA